GUGGGGAAUAUUGGACAAUGGGGGGAACCCUGAUCCAGCCAUGCCGCGUGUGUGAAGAAGGCCUUUUGGUUGUAAAGCACUUUAAGCGAGGAGGAGGCUACCGAGAUUAAUACUCUUGGAUAGUGGACGUUACUCGCAGAAUAAGCACCGGCUAACUCUGUGCCAGCAGCCGCGGUAAUACAGAGGGUGCAAGCGUUAAUCGGAUUUACUGGGCGUAAAGCGCGCGUAGGUGGCCAAUUAAGUCAAAUGUGAAAUCCCCGAGCUUAACUUGGGAAUUGCAUUCGAUACUGGUUGGCUAGAGUAUGGGAGAGGAUGGUAGAAUUCCAGGUGUAGCGGUGAAAUGCGUAGAGAUCUGGAGGAAUACCGAUGGCGAAGGCAGCCAUCUGGCCUAAUACUGACACUGAGGCGCGAAAGCGUGGGGAGCAAACAGGAUUAGAUACCCUGGUAGUCC
RNAcentral lists this ribosomal RNA (451 nucleotides) under uncultured bacterium. RNAcentral describes it as "partial 16S ribosomal RNA". It matches the Rfam family "Bacterial small subunit ribosomal RNA", at positions 354 to 796 of the family's 1533-position model. The record is from RNAcentral.